UGUUUAACAAAAACAUCACUAAGAGGACUUCACUCUUAGCAGUGCCUGCCCAGUGCAAAAUUGUAAAUGGCCGCCCUAGCGUGAGGGUGCGAAGGUAGCGAAAUUCCUUGCCUUUUAAUUGUAGGCCAGCAUGAAUGGAUUGACGAGGGCCAGUCUGUCUCUUGCCUUGUAUGACGAAAUUGGGUUAGAGGUGAAGAUACCUCUAUAAAAAAGCUAGACAAGAAGACCCCGUGCAGCUUUUAAAAAUUUGUUUACUAAGAGCAGAAGAUUUUUAGGUGGGGCGCCUAGGAAGUAAAGUUUAACCUUCUUAAAUAUUUUGAUUUCAAUGACCUUCCGGUGUGGACCCGGCAAGUCCGAUCAUAGGAGAAGUUACGCCGGGGAUAACAGGCUUAUCCAUUAGUAGAGUUCGUAUUGGCUAAUGGGAUUGGCACCUCGAUGUUGAAUUAAGGAUGAUAGCUUUAAGGCGUAGAAGCUUUAAC
Molecule: ribosomal RNA, 479 nt
Filed under: Saccostrea sp. MH-2014a
Lineage: Eukaryota; Metazoa; Mollusca; Bivalvia; Ostreida; Ostreidae
Description: partial large subunit of ribosomal RNA
Rfam family: Bacterial large subunit ribosomal RNA
Source: RNAcentral